Molecule: long non-coding RNA, 324 nt
Organism: Coffea eugenioides
Lineage: Eukaryota; Viridiplantae; Streptophyta; Magnoliopsida; Gentianales; Rubiaceae
Exons: 3
Source: RefSeq, a predicted model, not a curated record
CCGCAAUCAAACUACCUUUGCUUCCCUAUUGAAGGUAAGAACUAUAUAUUAGUUGGCAUGGUUCACAAGCCCAAUUAAUUAUAAUAGAUGCAGAGCUAAUCAAAGAAUUACUAACCAACAGAGAAGGCGCUUACCAGAAAAUGGAUAUGGAAGGCAUUGCAAAGAAAUUAUCAAAUUAAUAGGUGAGCCGCUUAUAACAAAUGAGGGGAAAAAAUGGGCAAAAGUACACAAACUGGCUAACCACUCAUUCCUUGCAGAGAGCCUAAAGAGCAAGGUACCAGAAAUGAUUGCUAGUGUCGAGGCGUUGCUGGAAAGCAAAGGCUG